This 265-nucleotide ribosomal RNA is filed under the name uncultured bacterium. RNAcentral describes it as "partial 16S ribosomal RNA". It matches the Rfam family "Bacterial small subunit ribosomal RNA", at positions 793 to 1055 of the family's 1533-position model. The record is from RNAcentral.
GUCCACGCCCUAAACGAUGAAUGCCAGUCGUCGGCAAGCAUGCUUGUCGGUGACACACCUAACGGAUUAAGCAUUCCGCCUGGGGAGUACGGUCGCAAGAUUAAAACUCAAAGGAAUUGACGGGGGCCCCGCACAAGCGGUGGAGCAUGUGGUUUAAUUCGAAGCAACGCGCAGAACCUUACCAACCCUUGACAUGUGUAUCGCGGUUCCAGAGAUGGUUCCUUCAGUUCGGCUGGAUACAACACAGGUGCUGCAUGGCUGUCGU